GAUGAAGAACGCAGCGAAAUGUGAUACUUGGUGUGAAUUGCAGAAUCCCGUGAACCAUCGAGUCUUUGAACGCAAGUUGCGCCCGAAGCCAUUAGGCCGAGGGCACGCCUGCCUGGGCGUCACACGUCGUUGCCCCCCCAUCUAAUCCUUCGGGAUUGCGGGGGGCGGAUGAUGGCCUCCCGUGCGCCUCGUCGCGCGGUUGGCAUAAAUGCCAAGUCCUCGGCGACGCACGCCACGACAAUCGGUGGUUGCGAAACCUCGGUUGCCCGUUGUGUGCGGUCGUCGCGCAUCGAGGGCUCGAAAAAAUUGCCGGGCUCCGGCUCGACUUUCAACGCGACCCCAGGUCAGGCGGGGUUACCCGCUGAAUUUAAGCAUAUCAAUAAGCGGAGGA
Molecule: unclassified non-coding RNA, 391 nt
Filed under: soil metagenome
Description: partial contains 5.8S ribosomal RNA, internal transcribed spacer 2, and large subunit ribosomal RNA
Rfam family: 5.8S ribosomal RNA (bases 1-122)
Source: RNAcentral